AGUGGUGUAGUGGUCAUCAGGUGGAGAGUAAGGAGCUGUCAGAGCUGGAGUCUCUUACAAGUCACCUGAAGAUGAAUGCUGAGGGAAGGUGCUCACCGGCUUCAGAAGAGGGAGGCGCCUGGGCUCUGCAGCAGGAAGGUCGGCGCUCACCCUCGGGGGACUCGCCUCUUCUGUCUCCAUAGCUUGUGAAGGGGGCCUGCAGCCCCAUUGUGUGACGUUGUUUUAGACGACCUGCUGUUACCUGCAGAAGAACAACCAGAAACUGUCCCGAAAUGUCUCGAGUAGCUGUCAGCAUCCUGGGCCUUCUCCGUGUCCACAUCCUCCCGCUCAAUGGCUCUCGCCUUGGUGCACCGUCUCCGGGGUGAAACCCUUCACUCUUCCUCCGAGCUCCUCGCGUUCUGCAGUUUGGUCACAGAGUCGAAGUUCCCACCCUCAGUGGGCAACUUUCAGAUUCCUGGCAAGAAACUGACAAACUCAAGCUGAGUCAUUGAAGAAAGUUGAAUAAGGAAGUCCCUUGAGAGUCCCUUGGAUUGCAAGGAGAUCCAACCAGUCCAUCCUAAAGGAAAUCAGUCCUGAAUAUUCAUUGGAAGGCUGGACACUGAAGCUGAAACCCCAAUACUUUGGCCACCUGAUGCAAAGAACUGACUCAUUGGAAAAGACCCUG
Long non-coding RNA from Bos taurus (domestic cattle), 664 nucleotides. NCBI's taxonomy places the organism in Eukaryota, Metazoa, Chordata, Mammalia, Artiodactyla, Bovidae. The record is from Ensembl.